GUAGACUCUGUGUCUACCAUGGCGCUCACGGGUGACGGGGAAUCAGGGUUCGAUUCCGGAGAGGGAGCCUGAGAAACGGCUACCACAUCCAAGGAAGGCAGCAGGCACGCAAAUUACCCACUCCCGGCACGGGGAGGUAGUGACAAAAAAUAACGAUACGGGACUCAUCCGAGGCCCCGUAAUCGGAAUGAGAACACCCUAAAUCCUUUAACGAGGAUCUAUUGGAGGGCAAGUCUGGUGCCAGCAGCCGCGGUAAUUCCAGCUCCAAUAGCGUAUAUUAAAGUUGUUGCGGUUAAAAAGCUCGUAGUUGGUUCUGCGUGCCACGCUGUCGGUUCACCGCCUGCCGGUGCAACUGGCAUGCCGUGGCAUGUCCUGUCGGUGGCGGAUAGGCUUCUCGGCGUGCCCUAUGCGGUAUACCAGCGUGUAGGCUGCUGCGCCGAGUUGUCCUUGUAAGCCGGCUCAAUCCUACCGCGGUGCUCUUCACCGAGUGUCGAGGUAGG
Molecule: ribosomal RNA, 500 nt
Filed under: Sephina subulata
Lineage: Eukaryota; Metazoa; Arthropoda; Insecta; Hemiptera; Coreidae
Description: SSU rRNA
Rfam family: Eukaryotic small subunit ribosomal RNA
Source: RNAcentral